RNAcentral lists this ribosomal RNA (330 nucleotides) under uncultured eukaryote. Its description in RNAcentral is "partial 18S ribosomal RNA". It matches the Rfam family "Eukaryotic small subunit ribosomal RNA", at positions 1470 to 1796 of the family's 1831-position model. The record is from RNAcentral.
CCCUUAGAUGUUCUGGGCCGCACGCGCGCUACACUGAUGAAUUCAACGAGCUCCUAACCUAGGCCGAAGGGUCCGGGUAAUCUUUGAAAUUUCAUCGUGAUGGGGAUAGAUUAUUGCAAUUAUUAAUCUUCAACGAGGAAUUCCUAGUAAGCGCGAGUCAUCAGCUCGCGUUGAUUACGUCCCUGCCCUUUGUACACACCGCCCGUCGCUCCUACCGAUUGAAUGGUCCGGUGAAAUGUUCGGACCGCGACGAGGCGGACGGUUCGCUGUCAGCUUUGCUGCGGGAAGUUCAUUAAACCUUAUCAUUUAGAGGAAGGAGAAGUCGUAACA